RNAcentral lists this ribosomal RNA (253 nucleotides) under uncultured bacterium. Its description in RNAcentral is "partial 16S ribosomal RNA". It matches the Rfam family "Bacterial small subunit ribosomal RNA", at positions 524 to 776 of the family's 1533-position model. The record is from RNAcentral.
UACGUAGGGCGCAAGCGUUGUCCGGCAUUAUUGGGCGUAAAGAGCUCGUAGGCGGUUUGUCGCGUCUGCUGUGAAAACCUAAGGCUCAACCUUGGGCUUGCAGUGGGUACGGGCAGACUAGAGUGCGGUAGGGGUGACUGGAAUUCCUGGUGUAGCGGUGGAAUGCGCAGAUAUCAGGAGGAACACCGAUGGCGAAGGCAGGUCACUGGGCCGCAACUGACGCUGAGACACGAAAGCGUGGGUAGCAAACAGG